CCCAGGGCCCGAGGGCCGCGGCGGGGCCGGGGUCCGGCGGGCCGCGGCAGAGGGGCCCGGCCGGGGCCGGUUCUCUUCGCCAGCGCCCCGCCUGCGCGGGAGUAGGGGGUGGUCUGAAAGCAGCGCGGCCGUCUGCCGGGAUGGCCGCGGAUCCUCCAAAUAACUUAACUUUUUUACAUCUCUCUCUUUCUAUAUGUAUAUAUAUAUUACACAAGGAUAAAGCACACGCAUUUUGCAAAAGCUAAAAAGACGUUUGGAAAUAAUUUUCAAGUGCUCUCCGGAAGCACUGCCAAGCUUUGCAAGCUGGGUACCCUUUACUCACGGUGGUUGUGCCAGUGCAAGUGAAAUCAGAAGAUGGGAAAGUAGGAGAGGGUGCUGAGCUGUUUGGUUUUGUUGUUUUUCGACAUCAGGUCUAGAUGAAUUCAAAUUUAAAAAUGCUGCGGAUGGUGGAAAGUAGAUGGAAUUAGAGUAUUUUACUAAAAGAUGGAAAAAAUGGGAAUGCAUUAAUUGUGGAAACAAAAGAUUGAUAUAUUUUCCUAAAGCGAUUUCCUACUUUAUUACAUUUUUCCAGGCUUCAGCUAGCAGGGAGAAAAAUUAACACACACACACACAGAAACUAUAUUUUUCUACUUUUUUCCAAAUAGCCUCCUGUUUUCCUUGGUUAGGAGUUUAAUUUUGGUAAAAAUUUGCAACAUUUUAGGUGUUACUUGAUUAAUCAAAUCAAUACUUACUAGGCAUUUUAUUUGGUGAUUACUGAGUAGUUCAGUGAGUGAAGCAGCCGGCUGGGCAGAGACCAGCUCCCAGAGAUACCUGGUCCCAGCCGCACGCAGUGAAUGGUGGGACAGAGGCUCCUGCGCAGCUUCUCCCCGUCCCGCUGGCACUGUGACUCCUCCAUUGUUCGAUGCAGCGUGAAACAGGCCACAGAAACCUGUUGAGAUGAUGUUUUCCUCUUUUGGCUUUGGUAGUGAAAAAGUAUAAUUCCCAAAACAUGUAACUAACUUGACUCUUGUAUUUAGGCUGCGUUUUAAAAAGCUCCCCUCCUUUUUCCCAGUUCUUCAGUCUGAAAAUUUCUUCCUGGGUGGGCCUGAAGAGCACUACUCAUCUUCACAUUAGUGCACCCAUCGCCAUCCUCUCCAACCGUGGGUGUCCCCAACUGCUGAUCAGUGAUCUCAAAGGGAUGGACUCCACAAGUGGCUCGCAGCUAAUACUUCUGAGGGGGCUUUAUCUCCAGUGUUUGCAAUUCCAUAAAAUACAUAUAUGUCCUCUUAACUCUACUGUUCUCUGGGAUCAGGGAAAACAGGAGAAUGCUCACUGGUUGUGUCUAAACCAGCGGGCAUGGGAUAAGAUCUGAGGCAUGAUCCUACCCAGGUUUCUGUCUAGUAGCACGUUCAUGUGCUUCCACAAGCCAUCUAGUCUGGACAUUUGGACCAGAAAAGCAAGGUGUUCAUCUGCCCUGUCAUCUAGCUGAAAUAGGCCCAUGAUAACUGUCUUUGCAGUUUUCGCAUUGAUUAAAAAAAAAUGAACCAAUUGUAUUCCUCUGUAGCUUGCCUUCAAAGCCAAUUUUGAACUGCCACAUGAGUAACAAAUUCAGAAUGUUUUGACUAUUUUAAUACUUGCUGAAUGCCAUCAAAUGUUAUAUAUAUAUGUUUUAAUUUAGGGAGGACUCCAACAUUCAUUGUGCAGUCUGCCUACGACAAUGGGUUCUGAAACCUGAUUAGGACUUUUAAAUAGUGUAAGCAGUUUACGGUAUGAAGGACUUCAUUUGUUAAAAGCUGUCAAGACACUAGCUUGGAUUGUGAACAACAGAUUUGGAACAAUUGUGUUGACUGUCCUGUCCUAAAUUAGACUGAAUAAAAUUGCAUUCUGUUAUAA
Molecule: long non-coding RNA, 1872 nt
Organism: Dromaius novaehollandiae (emu)
Lineage: Eukaryota; Metazoa; Chordata; Aves; Casuariiformes; Dromaiidae
Exons: 2
Source: RefSeq, a predicted model, not a curated record